This is a long non-coding RNA of Gymnogyps californianus (California condor), 3308 nucleotides long. RefSeq lists it as uncharacterized. The transcript is spliced from 3 exons. The record is from RefSeq and is a predicted model, not a curated record. NCBI's taxonomy places the organism in Eukaryota, Metazoa, Chordata, Aves, Accipitriformes, Cathartidae.
GUGGAUGGAGGUCUCAGAUUUCAGCAGAGGGACCUUUCUGACUGAGCCUGUGCAUUCUGUGAAGUAAGAGACACAGCACAGCUAGAUAUGCCCUUCUUCAGGACAGAAGAAGGACAAAAGACAAGAUAGUACAUCAUUUGUUAAACACUCUGCCUUCCAUGAAACCUCAAAAGCUUCUUUUCAUAUCUAGAAUUUCUGGGGUUGAAGCACCACUGGUGUGCACCUGAAGCAGAACUUCUGGUUUAGUUUCCUCCAAAAGGAAUACGAUUCAUAUGCACCGAAACAGCAAAUCAAACCAGCGCAGGAUAAAUGGGGAUGAUGGAGAGAUUUGCUGCAAAGCUGCUCUACUGUUACGAACAUUAACGUGGCUGGGGAUCCACUCUACACUGAAAUGGAUUGCCAUCUAUUCAAGGACUGUUAGGGGACAACAGACCUUAACAGGGGACUGUUUUCUGACCUACAAUGAGACCAGACAAUAAUAAGGAAACAUAUAACUGACUCAUAAUGUUCAAAAGGAAGUUUUUGGGGAGGAGAGAGGAAGAGACAAGCGUGCUUCAGUAGCCUGGUGGGGGUGCAGUCUUCAGGAAAAAGACUCUUGAGCCCUAAGGAAACUGCUCCAGAUGGCGAAGAAUCUGAGACAGACAAAACAUGUAAGGUUUAUUUGAUAUGUGCUGGUUUAUUUUUGAGUUAUUCCAGAGAGCCAAGCAAAGAAGCAGUGCUGUUGCCCCUUUAUACUACAAAGCAGGCAGAACAUGGAAGAGUUCUCAGUAUGGCAGGAACUGCCACAGCUGUGACAGCGGAUGGGGGGCUCCAGAGUCACUCUAUGGGGUACCUCACAAGUCCAAAAUAUUGCAUCACAGUAAUAUGAAAAAUCUUUAGCAUCAGGAGUAAGCAAUGAGAAAAGGUUUCCUUCAUUUCUGAUUUAGUCAAAUUCCAGAUCCAGAUCUACUUUUAAGUUAUUUAAGCUUAAAAUAAUUCUGAAAAUGUUUCAUUUUAGCAAACUUCUACCAGAAAGGAAAAGCAAAGCAAAGAGAGGGUGUUACCACUUUGGUUUUCUCUCUGUGAAGUUGUGGUGGUGGUGAAAAAACCCCAACAAAAUCAUCUAUAGCUUUAUUUUUGCCUUUUUUUUCCCAGAAAAAGAAAUAUGUCUAUGCAGAGAGAUUGAUCGUCUGUUUUUUAGUUGAAAUGUACCCAGCAGUUCUCUGCAUGCACCAUAUAUCCCAGCAAUUUAUUACAUGAUGUGAAAGUCAGUCUCUCAGAAAAUAAAUAGCUUAAAGCCAGCAGUAGCCAAAGCUGAGGUGUCCUAAAAUGAGCAUUAAUCUGGAAGGAAAAGGUAACUAGCUGGAGACUUGAGAGCUGUGUUGCAGAGACAUGUGUGGUUCCUAGGGAAGCGCACGCUCAAGUUCUUGUGAAAUAUACCAUUUAGCACUCGCUGCUCUCCAGUCACAUUCUUUCUCUUCACUGUUUAUAUUUACUCACCUUUUUCUGCCUUCUGAUCUUUGCCAUAGCUUUCUAAUUUUCAGUUCACUUCAUUAAGUGCAAACAGUGUGCGAUCGAGUAAGACACGGUCAGGAAAAUGACAAGGAACAUGGUGUCCUAGGCCAGGAGUUACCCUGAGGAGCCAGGGAAGAUUUAAAUUAUUUCAGUCAGUCUUCUCUAUAUCCUUAUGGUGCCCCACACUGAGGACCAUGAGAGUAAGCUGAGGCCUUUCCCUGUUACCAUAUUACCAGAUAGGAAAUAUCUCCCCUACCUGGGGACAUGGGACCGGAAGGGAACACCCAAGUCAUCCAAAGUGAUCCCUGAAAUGGUGCAGGAGAUAUCCAAUGACAGGAGGUUCCUCAGAAUGACGACUCCAUAUCCUCAGCCAAGGAAAUGCUUCCUAACGUUCUCCAGGAAAAAUAAGACCUCUAGUUUAAAAAAAAAGCACCAACAACCUAUUUAUGAUGUAUCACAGACAGACAAGAAGGGGAUCAGAGGUACCAUGAAUACCCUGUGUCACUGCAGUAGCAGAGGACUUACUGAAUAAAACUUUCCAACCAUUAUAGACAGCAACUAUGUUCCAUGUUAUAGAAAGAAAGCAAAGAAAAAGCCAGUUUUAAAUGGAAGAAAAAUUUCUUAUUGCCCAGAAAACUGGUGAUCGGUUUAAUUCUGAGGAUGUGAGCAGGACACGGUGACCAGAUACCUUAAAGAAUGUAAUGCCAGCCAUGUCUUGGACCAACCAACUUCUCUGAUCCAAACACAUCUGCUAUGAGAGAAGGGCAAGGGCAAGCUAUCCCAUAUGGUAUGAAAUAACCUGUCCCUUGCCUCAAGAAAGGGAGGGUGAAAUAGGGUAAGUAUAUAACGAAAUGGUGCGCCAUCUGCCUGUCUUUUGUCUUGCAGUGCAAGGUCUGUUGCCAUGACUCCAUCAAAAUUAGAAAACAAAGGUCUAGGUGCCAGUAGCAUUAAAAAUAUGCUUCUCUCACAAAUUAUAGGUUGCAGAUAACCAUGGGAAGUGGCUGCAGUGCUUAUUAGGGUCUUUAGCUCUGUCAAUGACACCUAUGCUCAACCAACUGUAGCUGCCCCUUAUCCUGUAAGAGCUGUUGAAGUCCUGUUCGUAUUUACAGGCUUUCAGUAACAAAACUGCGCCCUGCGGUUGGGGAUCAGCUGCGUGCCAGAGCUGCUCAUUCACGGCAUGUAACCCUCUGCGGGGUGGGGGGGUUUGUGACCGGCCCUCCCCGUCACCCUUCUGAGCAGGGGUCAAGCUGUUGCCAAAUUGCCACAUUUCUUCCAAAAGAUAUGGAUGAACAGACAAGGGUGAACAUGCUGUUUUAUAAAUCCCACGCUGAUUAUUUUAAUGACUGUGGGCCCUUCUGGAAACCUCGUGGGGGGUACAGAACAUCACAGAUGUGGCAGGAGCCCAGCAGCUGACUAAAAACAGUCCUGGGGGACCCACUUAUUCAUGGACAGAUGCAUAAGUUAACAACAGACAUCUCAUCAUCCUUACUGCCAUCACAAGUUGUAACUACGAGGACUCAAGGUAAACCCCUGCAGUAUUCAGCCGUAAUUCCCAGUCAAUGGAGUUGUCCCAAUUAAACUGAGAGUGCACGUGACUGAGUAUUUGAAACUCCACUUAAAAGUAAAUAUUGACACGGUUUAAAGGGAUUAACUAAGAUGACUGGAUUCUUGUUAAAAAGUUUUUGAGAUAAAAAAGAGCCUUUUACAAAGUCUUCAGUGUUUUGAGAUGUUACUUCCUGUGAUAAAAUGGAAAAAGGGGAAAACUUGCUCUAAAAGUAUAUGAAAAUCUCAUGUUUCUAAACACUUAUCUUUAA